RNAcentral lists this ribosomal RNA (253 nucleotides) under uncultured bacterium. Its description in RNAcentral is "partial 16S ribosomal RNA". It matches the Rfam family "Bacterial small subunit ribosomal RNA", at positions 524 to 776 of the family's 1533-position model. The record is from RNAcentral.
UACGUAGGUGGCAAGCGUUAUCCGGAUUUAUUGGGCGUAAAGGGAACGCAGGCGGUCUUUUAAGUCUGAUGUGAAAGCCUUCGGCUUAACCGGAGUAGUGCAUUGGAAACUGGGAGACUUGAGUGCAGAAGAGGAGAGUGGAACUCCAUGUGAAGCGGUGAAAUGCGUAGAUAUAUGGAAGAACACCAGUGGCGAAAGCGGCUCUCUGGUCUGUAACUGACGCUGAGGUUCGAAAGCGUGGGUAGCAAACAGG